AACGGCAGCACAGAAGAGCUUGCUCUUUGGGUGGCGAGUGGCGGACGGGUGAGUAAUGUCUGGGAAACUGCCCGAUGGAGGGGGAUAACUACUGGAAACGGUAGCUAAUACCGCAUAACGUCGCAAGACCAAAGUGGGGGACCUUCGGGCCUCACACCAUCGGAUGUGCCCAGAUGGGAUUAGCUAGUAGGUGGGGUAAUGGCUCACCUAGGCGACGAUCCCUAGCUGGUCUGAGAGGAUGACCAGCCACACUGGAACUGAGACACGGUCCAGACUCCUACGGGAGGCAGCAGUGGGGAAUAUUGCACAAUGGGCGCAAGCCUGAUGCAGCCAUGCCGCGUGUAUGAAGAAGGCCUUCGGGUUGUAAAGUACUUUCAGCGGGGAGGAAGGCGGUGAGGUUAAUACCCUCGCCGAUUGACGUUACCCGCAGAAGAAGCACCGGCUAACUCCGUGCCAGCAGCCGCGGUAAUACGGAGGGUGCAAGCGUUAAUCGGAAUUACUGGGCGUAAAGCGCACGCAGGCGGUCUGUUAAGUCAGAUGUGAAAUCCCCGGGCUUAACCUGGGAACUGCAUUUGAAACUGGCAGGCUUGAGUCUCGUAGAGGGGGGUAGAAUUCCAGGUGUAGCGGUGAAAUGCGUAGAGAUCUGGAGGAAUACCGGUGGCGAAGGCGGCCCCCUGGACGAAGACUGACGCUCAGGUGCGAGAGCGUGUGGAGCAAACAGGAUUAGAUACCCUGGUAGUCCACGCCGUAAACGAUGUCGACUUGGAGGUUGUGCCCUUGAGGCGUGGCUUCCGGAGCUAACGCGUUAAGUCGACCGCCUGGGGAGUACGGCCGCAAGGUUAGAACUCAUAUGAAUUGACGGGGGCCCGCACAAGCGGUGGAGCAUGUGGUUUAAUUCUAUGCAACGCGAAGAACCUUACCUGGCCUUGACAUCCAGAGAACUUAGCAGAGAUGCUUUGGUGCCUUCGGGAACUCUGAGACAGGUGCUGCAUGGCUGUCGUCAGCUCGUGUUGUGAAAUGUUGGGUUAAGUCCCGCAACGAGCGCAACCCUUAUCCUUUGUUGCCAGCGGUUCGGUCGGGAACUCAAAGGAGACUGCCGGUGAUAAACCGGAGGAAGGUGGGGAUGACGUCAAGUCAUCAUGGCCCUUACGGCCAGGGCUACACACGUGCUACAAUGGCGCAUACAAAGAGAAGCGACCUCGCGAGAGCAAGCGGACCUCAUAAAGUGCGUCGUAGUCCGGAUUGGAGUCUGCAACUCGACUCCAUGAAGUCGGAAUCGCUAGUAAUCGUAGAUCAGAAUGCUACGGUGAAUACGUUCCCGGGCCUUGU
This 1329-nucleotide ribosomal RNA is filed under the name Pantoea dispersa. RNAcentral's name for it is "bacterial SSU rRNA". It matches the Rfam family "Bacterial small subunit ribosomal RNA", at positions 65 to 1384 of the family's 1533-position model. Lineage: Bacteria; Pseudomonadati; Pseudomonadota; Gammaproteobacteria; Enterobacterales; Erwiniaceae. The record is from RNAcentral.